RNAcentral lists this non-coding RNA (618 nucleotides) under Amborella trichopoda. Its description in RNAcentral is "rRNA LSU_rRNA_eukarya". It matches the Rfam family "Eukaryotic large subunit ribosomal RNA", at positions 24 to 664 of the family's 3401-position model. The record is from Rfam by way of RNAcentral. Lineage: Eukaryota; Viridiplantae; Streptophyta; Magnoliopsida; Amborellales; Amborellaceae.
CCCGCUAAGUUUAAGCAUAUUAAUAAGCGGAGGAAAAGAAGCUUACCAGGAUUCCCCUAGUAACGGCGAGCGACCGGGAACUUCCCAGCAUGGAAAUCGAGCUGCCCCGCUGCGAAAAUUGUAGUCUGUAGAAGUGUCCUCAGCUUUGGACUAGGCACAAGUCCCUUGGUGUGCCCGGACCUUGCCACACCACGAGGUGCUGUUGGCGAGUCGGGUUGUUUGGGAAUGCAGCCCUAAUUGGGCGGUAAAUUAUGUCCAAGGCUAAAUACCAACGAGGGAGACCGAUAGCAAACAAGUACCGCGAGGGAAAGAUGAAAAGGACUUUCAAAAGAGAGUCAAAGAGUGCUUGAAAUUGUCAGGAGGGAAGCGGAUGGGGGCUGGCAGUACCCCGCUGUCGGAUGCAGAAUGUCCUCGUUGACAGUCCUUCACUCCGCUCACAAGUCAGACCAGCGUGGGUCACCGCGGAGGCAGGAGCCCAAGUGGUCGCUCUUGCCCGAGGGGAUGCCGCCAUGGUGACCGGGGGAUGAAAGCACGCAUUGAUCGGACCGCCCCUUGCGGCAACUGAGCGCUCUUGGCACCAGUCUGCGGGCUCCCCAUCCGGCCCGUCUUGAAACAUGA